RNAcentral lists this microRNA precursor (196 nucleotides) under Helianthus annuus (common sunflower). Its description in RNAcentral is "sRNA HanXRQr2_Chr15g0683281". Lineage: Eukaryota; Viridiplantae; Streptophyta; Magnoliopsida; Asterales; Asteraceae. The record is from RNAcentral.
GUCGUUAAACUAUAUAUUUUUUUAUUAUUUAGUCGAAGUUGAACCGUAAGGCGCGUAGGUCUCUAACGAGCGUCGAAACUGAGAUCGUCGUUAAAAUAUAAAACUUCGAUCUUAGUUUCGACGCUCGUUAGGGACCUACGCGCCUUACGGUUCGACUUCGACUAAAUAAUAAAAAAAAGAUAUAUAUUUUAACGAC